Vicia villosa (hairy vetch) is the source of this 2153-nucleotide long non-coding RNA. RefSeq lists it as uncharacterized. The record is from RefSeq and is a predicted model, not a curated record. The transcript has 5 exons. NCBI's taxonomy places the organism in Eukaryota, Viridiplantae, Streptophyta, Magnoliopsida, Fabales, Fabaceae.
UUUAUAUAAAGAGAGUUGGAACUUUAAAAAUAUAAAUUGAUAUAACCAUAUCUAUAUUACAGAGAAAACAAAUAUGGCUGAAGUUAUGAAAUUUGUUUAUAUUAUAAUUCUCUUUAUUUCUAUAUUUUUGGUGCAAUUCAACCAUGGAAGUAAUAGAUUUGGACAAACUGGUAAAUGUGUAAAAGAUGCUGAUUGUACAAGUUUUUUUGUGCGGUGCCCACCACCACGGGUAGUGAAGUGUAAUACUAAACGAUGCAGAUGUGUUAGAUUGGUGUCUCUUAUUAAUAAUGUUCACAUAUGAUUCUAAAUUUAAUUUGGUAUUCAAGAGAGUAUACAAAUUCUCUUCAAGAAUAAUUAACACUCUUCAAAAAUAAACUAGGAAGGUUCAUGAUUCACUGAAACAAAUUAUAUUUAUGAUUCUGUUUAAUUUACAAUAAUGACUUCAAUAAAAAUUUAGUUAGCUAUUAAAAUGGUUUUCAUUUGAUUUAAAAUUAGUUUAAAAUCAAUUUAUAUUUACAACUUAAUCUUUCAAGAAAUCUUAUUCAUCAAAUAAUUUAUUAUAAAAUUAUAAUUCAAUUCAAUUCAAUUUAGAAUUUAACCCUUAAUUUGUGUAUUCAUUUGCUAAUAUAUGUAAUGUAUUGAACAUAAAAUUCUUAAAUAAUGAAUAAUAUUUUUAAUAUUACAUGAUUAUUAAUCAGUAUAUGAUUUGAUGGAUUUGAGGGCAUUGUUUUUCUUUAUUGAAUGGUACUGUUUUUGCUUCAUUUUUCACUUGUGAAGAUGUUCAAAAUUUGGCUAUUAAGAUGGUUCAUACUAAGAACAUUUGGUAUUUUCAUAGAUUUAUAAAUUUAUUGAGUUAGUUUUGAUAUUACCGGUGUCGACAACAUUCGUUGAAACAGUCUUUUCAGCAAUGAAGUUUAGCAAGUCUAAAUUGUGCAAUAAGAUCAUUCACCGUAAAAAAAUCAAAUCACUUGAAGAUAUUGAUAUUAUUCGAACAUUCACCGAAAAAAAUCUCGGAAAAGAUAUUUUCCUCGUAAUUUUAUUUAACACCCUAUUAUAAAGUUAUCUUUCAUCUCUUUUAUUUUUUUAUAAUUAUUUAUAUAUUAUAUACAAUAAUUUACUAUAUUUAAAUUUUUAUUUAAACUUUAUAACUUUUCUGACUUCGUCACAAUAUAUAAAGAAAUAAAAACUAAUGAAGUAUGCAAUAUUUGAAAGUUAAAUUUUAUCCAACAAAACACUCCAUUAAUAAUUAAUUUAUAAAAUGUCUUCUUACAACAUUAUUUAAAUUUCUUUCACAUCAUGAAAGGUUUGCACUAUUUAGAAAAAUCGGUUAUUUUCUUAAUCUAAAAAGAUUAUUAAAUAUGCUAGAGGGACAAAUGUAUUUGAAUUUUUUUUAAUAAUUAUUCUAAUUUUAAGAACGGCUUUUUAAAAGCUUAUAAACAUAAUGUACAAUAUUAUUUUAAUUUAUGUAAAGAGAGUUGGAAUUUUAAAAGAUAUAAAUUGAUAAGAACCAUUUCUGUAUUACAAAGAAAAAAAUAUGGCUCAAGUUAUGAAGUUUUUUUAUAUUAUAAUGAUUUUUAUUUCUAUAUUUCUGGUGCAAUUCAACCAUGGAAGUAAUAGCUUUGGAAGAGCUGGUAAAUGUGAAAAAGAUUCUGAUUGUACAAGUUAUUUUGUGCAGUGCCCACCACCACGGAACGGGAUGGAUGUGUAAAAGAUGCUGAUUGUACAAGUUUUUUUAUGCGGUGCCCAUCACCACUGGAGCUGAUAAAUGUGAAAAAGAUUCUGAUUGUACAAGUUAUUUUGUGCGGUGCCCACCACCACGGAUAGUGAAGUGUAAUAAUAAACGAUGCAGAUGUGAUAGUAUUAUAUCUCUUAUUAGAAAUGUUCACAUAUAAUUCUAAUAAAUUUAAUUUGGUAAUCAAGAGAGUAUACAAAUUCUCUUCAAGAAUAAUGAAUACUUUUUGAGAGUAAACUAUUGUCAUACCCGUGCGAAAGCACGAAUACCUAUUUUGUCACGUUUAUUUUGUUUAAUAUUGUAUUUUUUUUAAUAGAAAAAGGUUAUUUUGAUUCAUCAAUCAAUAACUUCAUAUUCUCAUUAUCAUUUGAUAUUUUGAUCAAUAAUUUUAAAUUACCGUUAAUAUCCAAUAUUUUGAUCU